RNAcentral lists this ribosomal RNA (465 nucleotides) under Vreelandella stevensii. Its description in RNAcentral is "partial 16S ribosomal RNA". It matches the Rfam family "Bacterial small subunit ribosomal RNA", at positions 338 to 795 of the family's 1533-position model. The record is from RNAcentral. Lineage: Bacteria; Pseudomonadati; Pseudomonadota; Gammaproteobacteria; Oceanospirillales; Halomonadaceae.
CCUACGGGUGGCAGCAGUGGGGAAUAUUGGACAAUGGGCGAAAGCCUGAUCCAGCCAUGUCGCGUGUGUGAAGAAGGCCUUCGGGUUGUAAAGCACUUUCAGUGGGGAAGAAAGCCUUGGGGCUAAUACCCUCGAGGAAGGACAUCACCCACAGAAGAAGCACCGGCUAACUCCGUGCCAGCAGCCGCGGUAAUACGGAGGGUGCGAGCGUUAAUCGGAAUUACUGGGCGUAAAGCGCGCGUAGGCGGUCUGAUAAGCCGGUUGUGAAAGCCCCGGGCUCAACCUGGGAACGGCAUCCGGAACUGUCAGGCUAGAGUGCAGGAGAGGAAGGUAGAAUUCCCGGUGUAGCGGUGAAAUGCGUAGAGAUCGGGAGGAAUACCAGUGGCGAAGGCGGCCUUCUGGACUGACACUGACGCUGAGGUGCGAAAGCGUGGGUAGCAAACAGGAUUAGAUACCCUGGUAGUC